UACGUAGGGUGCAAGCAUUAAUUGGAUUUAUUGGGCGUAAAGGACGCGUAGGCGGAUAGUUAAGUCAGAUGUGAAAGCCCGGGGCUCAACCCCGGAACAGCAUUUGAAACUGGCUAUCUAGAGGGUAGGCGGAGAAAACGGAAUUCCACAAGUAGCGGUGAAAUGCGUAGAUAUGUGGAAGAACACCGGUGGCGAAGGCGGCCCCCUGGUUGGAUACUGACGCUGAGACGCGAAAGCGUGGGGAGCAAAC
RNAcentral lists this ribosomal RNA (250 nucleotides) under uncultured bacterium. RNAcentral's name for it is "partial 16S ribosomal RNA". It matches the Rfam family "Bacterial small subunit ribosomal RNA", at positions 524 to 773 of the family's 1533-position model. The record is from RNAcentral.